Molecule: long non-coding RNA, 7396 nt
Filed under: Homo sapiens (human)
Lineage: Eukaryota; Metazoa; Chordata; Mammalia; Primates; Hominidae
Description: HSALNT0357462
Source: RNAcentral
GCACUCUUUUUGCAAAUUCAUUUAUUAAGUCAUCGAAAUUUAUAUUUUUAGCAACUUCAUUUUCAAUAUAUAAUUGAAAGUAACAUGUAUUCUUGGCAAAUGCAAGAUAAGUAAUUUUUGCUAAUUUUUAAUUUUGAGAAGGUUGAUUUUUCAGCUGAUGCAAUCAUUAGGGACCUGUUGGUUCUUUAUACAUUGUGACAAUAUGGGCUAAAUUUCUGAUUUCUGAUAUAUUACUGCACAAUAAAAGUUAAAAAAAUACAAGUUUUGGUAUAUAUAGACAAAGACUGGAGUAGCACUUCUCUGCAAUUAAUUCUUCAUGAAUGUUAGUUUUGUACAAAACUGAAUUCAAUUUUACAUAUAAAUUUAUACAAUGGCAUUUUAAUGUUUCCUCUGACAUUUCCUACAUCUUGUACAAGAAACCAAAAAUGGCUUCAUGAUUUGCAUAUAAUUGGAAACACCUGUUUAUGCAGUAUAUUGCUGUAUUUUCAAAUGCAAAAAAAACCCUAUUUUUAAAGUUGACUUCUUUGUUAAUACUUGAUUCAUCCAAAAUUUUAAAUGAAAAUAAUGUUCUCUCCCAUCAAAUGAAAUUCCUAUUUCUAAGCCUGUGGAUAUUUGCUUUGCAAUGUUGCAGCAGUUCUUAACACCAGAGAAUCUACACUCCAAAGAAUUCUAGUAACUGCCUAGUGUGCCUUAACACAAUGUCCACAAGUAUGCUUUUAUUUUCUAAUACUUUACUGACCAUGAUGACUGCCUGAAAGCUGGAGGUUACUGUCCCAGUACUCAGCCCAGAAAAUUAGUAUUUCCUAAGAAUGGCAGAGGGACAGACUUAGGGGAGAGACAAACCAGCCUCACGCUGUGGGUCCUCUCUGGGUUGCAAAUGUUCAUGAGUUUGCUGCUGCUGCAACCAAUGCAGACAAAGGUCAUGGCCUUGGCCACCCACACACAAUUCCAGAACACUCCCAGGCCAUACUACACAGACCAACAGCUUAGUAGGGCACUGCCUCUCAAGUAUCCUGUCUACUUGCACACAUAGUCCAGUGUCCAUCAGACUUCACAUACAAAUCACGAGUUCAAAGAUAAAACUGUGAAGAACUUCAAGAUGGCAACAGCAGGGCAUUAAGUGAAGUACAGGAUCCCUUCUUACAAGAGUGUAGCAACGUGUGACUGCACAGGUCACCUAGCCAUGAAGUUGGCCGAGAUACAGGGAAUUACACUGACUGCUUUUCAAAUGUUGAAAAAGCCUGCCAGGGAUUAACCACACUUGGUCAUGAGGUAUUAAUAACCUUGUUAUAUACCACUGGUUUCUAAUCACUAGUGUUUUUGAAUUUAUGUUCAUGAAGGACACUGGUCUACAGCUUUCUUUCCUUGCAAUGUCUCUGUCUGGUUUUGUUAUUAGGGCAAUGCUGGACUCAAAGAAUGAUUUAGGAAGUAUUCCCUCUUCUUGAAUUUUCUGGAAAAGUCUUUAUAAAUUGGUACUAUUAAUUGUUUGCUGGAAUUCACUACUGAAGCAUCUAGGGACCUGGGGUUUUCUUUGUGGAAAGGUUAUCUAUUUGUUUUGGAGCAAGCCGUAAUAGCUGUUUAUUUGAAUGAAACUGUUCAUUUCAUCAAAAUCGUCAAACUGAUAAUUUACAGGUAUAGUAUUCCCUCACUUCCUUCAUAAUAUCUAUAGAAUCUUCAGUGAUACAUCAUUCUUAUUUUUGAUAUUGAUAAUCUGUUCCACCUAGAAGUUUAUCCAUUUUAUCGAUCUUCUCAAUGAAACAGCUUUUGGUUUCACCGAUUUUCUCAACUGUUUUUCUGGUUCUACAGAUUAUAUUGUUCUCCAUUUUGUUUUUUAUUAUUUCCUUUCUUCUACUAUUAUAUGGAUUUGUCUUCUUUUCUACAUUCUCAAAGUGGAAUUAGCUAAGACCAUUGAUUUAGACCUUUCUUCUUAUCCAACACAAGUUAAACUUCAUACAUGUGUAUAUUACAUAUAUACAUAUGUAUAAAUGCAUACACAUGAAAUUCCCUCUAUGUGAAAUUUACACAUUAUAUAUUUAAUAUAUAUUACACAUAAUACAUUAUAUCCCAUAUAUGACAAACGUCAUAUAUGCAUUUACAUAUUGUGGAAACUUCAUAUAUGCAUUUACAUAUGGUGGAUAUAUAUGCACACAAUACAAACACACACAAUGCUUAUUUGUGUCGCAUAAGAAAGAUCUCAAAUCAAUGACCUCAGGUGCUUCUACCUUAAAAAGCUACAAAAAAGCAAAUUAAACCCAAAAGUAAGUAGCAAAAAGGACUAAGGAUCAAAAUGGAAAACAAUGAAAUCAAUGAGUAUUGUAUGUAUUUUAUAUUUCCUAUGAAUUUCCUAUAUGUAAAUUUCCCAUAAAUUCCAUUUUCAUUAACCCAAAGUUCAAAACACUUUCUAAUUUCCUCUUCGAAUUCUUCUUUGAAGCAUCCAUUACAUAGACUUAUAUUCAGUUUCCAACUAUUAGGGAUUUAAUAGAUACUUCUGUUAUUGAUGUUUAAUUUAACUAAAUUUAAACCCCUUAUGGUGGGAGAAAAUACUCUAUAUGACUUCAAUCCUUUUAUAUUUAUUAAGAUUUGCUUUACAAUCAGGAUGUGAUUUACCUUUGUUAAUAUAUUCGUUCAUCUGCCCUUGAAAAGAAUGUAUAUUCCACUGUUUUAUUUGGGGAGGAGUGUGCAGAAGAAUAUUUUAUAAAUGUCAAUUAAGUUAUUUAGGGUUAAGUCUAUUAUAUCUUUGCUCCUUUUCCAUUUCCUGUUUUAUUAAUUAUUAAAAGGAUGCUAAAGCCUCUGAUUAUAACUGUGGAUCUAUUUCUCCUUCCAGAUCUAUCAGAUUUUGCUUCAAAUAUUUUGCAAAUCUGUUACUAAGUUUAGGAUUGUUAAAUCCUCUUGAUGAAAUGAUCUCUAUCAAUAUGAAAAAAAAUCUUUAUCACUGGUAUUCCUGGCUCUGAAAGCUACUUCAUCUGGCUGUCACAGCACUGCAGCCUUGUGAAUAAUUUUACCAUUCUACAUCUUUUCCCAUUCUUUUUGUUUAUCUAUUUGUCUUUGAAUCUAACAUGUUUCCUUUAUAGGCAGCAUGAUUGGAUCUUAUUUUUAUUUAUCUUAUCCAGAAAUCUCUGCCUUUAAAUGGGGUGUUAUAUACCAUUUAUAUUUUCUGUGAUCAUCAAUGUUUAUAAAAGCUUUAAUCAGUGUACUUUUCAGUAACAGUAUAUAUAUGAAUCUUCCAAUAGUAUAUACUUUACUUCUUUUUCAUAGCCUUUUCAGGCUGUGAUUGUCAUGUAUUUUCAAUAUAUGUUAUAAACCCCACAAUACAUUUGAUGUUAUUUUUGUAUAAAGUCAAUAUCCUUUUUAGAGACUUACAUAAAGAAAAAUAUCUUGUAUACAUAUCCAAGUAGUCAACAUUUCCUGUUCUUCAUCCCCCUGAGUAGAUCCAGAUUUCCAUCAGACAUCAGAACAUGUCUUGUGAUGCAGGUCUGCUGGAGAGGAAAUCUUUCAGCUUUGUUUAACUGGAAUGUCCUUAUUUCUUCACUGUUUCUUAUAGCUAUUUUUACCAAGUAUAUAACUCUACAUUGAGAUUUUUGCUUUUAAAACCAAAAAUAAUGUUCUACUAUUUUCUCUGUUGCCUCAUUUAAGGAGAAAUCUGUUAUCAUCCUUGCCUUUGUUCCUCCAUAAAACAUGUCCUUUAUCUCUGGCUGCUUUGAGGACUUCAUUUUAACACUGAUUUAGAGCAUUCUGGUUAUGAUUCAUGUGGCUUGGUGUAGUUUUCUUCAUGCCUCUUGUGCUCAGGGUUUGACGAGCUUCUUAGAUCGGUAGGUUCCCAACACAUUUGGAAAUUUUUUCAUUAUUCUCAAAAUACUGUUUUCUGUUCUUUUCCCACUUUCCUUUUAGAGACUCCAAUUCCAUGUGUGUUAAGAGACUACCUGAAGUCCUGAAGUUCUCCUAAAGCUCACAUGGGCUUGUUUUUUUUUUUUUUUUUUUUUUUUUGAGACACAGUCUCACUGUCACCAGGCUGGAGUGCAGUGGUGCAAUCUCAGCCUCACUGCAACUUCUGCCUCCCAUGUUCAGGUGAUUCUCCUGCCUCAGCCUCCUGAGUAGCUGGGACUACAGGUGCCUGCCACCACACCCGGCUAAUUUUUGUAUUUUUAGUAGAGACAGGGUUUUGCCACGUUCGCCAAGAUAGUCUGGAUCCCUUGAUCUCGUGAUCCACCCACCUUGGCUUCUCAAAGUGCUGGGAUUACAGGCAUGAGCCACUGCAACUGGCCCAAGGGCUUGCUUAUUUUUCAAAUAUGCUUUUUCUCUGUUUCAUUUGUAUGGCUUCUAUUACUGUGUUUUUAAGUUCAAUAAUCUUAUUCUUCUGCAAUCUUUGAACUGCCAUUAAUUCUUGCUCUAUGUGAUAUUCUUUUUUUUUUUUUUUUUUUUUUGGGGGGAGACAGGGUCUCACUCCAUCACCCAGGCUGCAGUGCAGAGGUGCAAUCUUGGCUCACUGAAACACCCACCUCCCAAGGCUCAAGUGAUCCUCCCACCUCAGCCUCCCAAGUAGCUAGGACAACAGGCAUGCACCACCACACCCAGCUAAUUUUUUUGUUGUUUCAUUUUUGGUACAGAUGAGGUUUCAUCAUGUUGCCCAGGCUGGUCUCGAACUCCUGAGCUCAGGAGAUCCACCUGCCUUGGCCUCCCAAAGUGCUGGCAUUACAGGUGUGAGACACCAAUGACUGGCCAUGUAUUUUUCAUCUCAAGCAUUAUAGUUUUCAUUUCUGGAAAUCUGAUUUCUAUCUUUUCUGUUACACUGAAUUUUGAUUUGUUUUUUUUUUUUUAAUCUUCUGUGUCUCUACUUAAGUUUUAGAACAUAUGGAACCAAAUUAUAGCACUGUUUUCAAUGAACCUGUCAGUUAAUUCUAAUAUCUAUGGCAAUUCUGAGUCCAUUUCAAUUUCCUGGUUAGUCUCUUUGAGAAAGCUCAUGUUUUCCCAUAUGUCUGUAAGUCUGGAAAUAUUUCAAUGGAUGGAAGACUGAGAGUUUUACUUGGUUGGAUGCUGGGUACUUUUGGCUUCCUAUAAGUAUUUUUGUGCUUUGUUCUAGGAUGCACUUAAGUCACUUGGAAACAAUGUGACACUUUCAGGUCUUGCUUUUAUGAUUUCUUAGGCAAAUCUGGAGCAGUGCUCAGUUUGGGGCACAUUACUCCUCACCACGGAGAAAAGACCUUUCUGAACACUCUACCCAAUACUCUGAAUUAUGAGUUUUUCCACGCUGGCUGGCAGGAUCAGUCCUUCUCCAGGCCCUAUGUGAGUACUGUGUACUGUUCCCUCUGAUUCUUUUCAAAAGUUAUUUCACUCAUUUCCUCAUAUACAUGAGCUGAUUAGUACUUUGCUGAACAUUCAUGGAGGCCCCUUUACAGAUCUCCAGGCCUCUCUCUGUGUGCAUCUAUCUCCUGCAAGCCACCAGUGCUCCUCAACCCCCACAGCUUCAAAUUCUAGGAAAGAACUGCCAAAAGGCCUUGAGCCAGCUUCCUCCACCACCCCAAUUAAAAUAUCCAGCCCAGUCAUGGCAGUCUGAGAAUAGUGGAGUACAAUGCCUACCUAGGUCAUUGAGAAGAGAUUCCAAAAGAAACCAAGAAGACCAGAGACUACUGCCCCAAUCCAGAUCCCUGAUCAUAAAGCACAGUAUCACCCACCCAGAGAAAAGCAAAACACUGCUGUAGCCUCCAGAUCCCGAAUAAUGGAGCAGGACUCUCACCUAGGGCCAGCUGUAAGGACAGAGAGUUCCAAAACUCUCCUCCAGAAAACUCACUUUGUUCAGAACAGAGUUUGGGUGAGUGCAAGCCUAAGAUCACCCUCAAAAAGAAUGGAAAUUCAAUGAUAACCAAUUAAGAAGAGGGUAGCAGUUCUAUGACAGCAACAAGCUAAACCACAGACCAACUGAAAGUUUACUGGAGAGAGCAAGGGAAAGAGAUGCCUAAGAAGAGACAUCCAGGGCAAUUAGAUGUCUUCCUAUCUACCAGAAACACUCAUACAAAUACAUACACAGAUUUUCCACAGUCAUGAUUUUUAAAUUUAUGUUUUCUAGGAGGUGACUUUCAGAAUGGCAACAUAAAAAGCAAACUCAAAGCCUCAAAGACAGCCCUCUAGAAGGAACCCAAAUUUAACAAGAGCAAACUAAGAGCAACAUAUGGUCCAGGACAGUGUUGAAAACAAUAGAGCAAUAUGUCAGCAAUCAGUAGCGGCUAUCAGCAAAGUGUAACAGCAACAGAGGCAGACAGGCUAACACAGCAAUCACAGAAAGAUUCACUCAAAGAGAGCACUGUUAACACCACUGCCAUGCUAAAGAUAGUGUGCAUUUCUAAGGCAGGGCCCUCUGACAAGCAUCAUCAGUGAGAACCCAAUGGGAGUGAAAAAGCUUCUCUCAAAUAGUAGUCAAGUUGCCUAAAUAAAUAAGAAACAACAACAAGCCCUAGAGAGAAUAGAGGAAUCAGUAUCUAGAGAAAGUACAAAGUAUUCUCUACAAUGUCUAUUCUUCAACAAAAAAAUUACAACACAUACAAAGAAACAGGAGACUGUCAUCUAUAUACAGGAAAAAUGGCAGGCAACAGCAACUGCCCUUGAGAAGAUCCAGAUAUCAGACUUAGCUGACCUCAAAGCACUUAUUUUAAAUAUGUUCAGGCCAGGUGCAGUGGCUCACGCCUGUAAUCCCAAUACUUUGGGAGGUUGAGGCAGGUGGAUCACCUGAGGUCAGGAGUUCAAGACCAACCUGGCCAACAUGGUAAAACCCUGUCUCUACUAAAAAUACAAAAAUUAGCUGGGUGUGGUGGCCAGCACUUGUAAUCCCAGCUACUCUGGAGGCUGAGGCAAGAGAAUGGCUUGAACCUGGGAGGCAGAGGUUGCAGUGAGCUGACAUCAUGCCUCUGAACUCCAGCCUGGGUGACACAGCAAGACUGUAUCAAAAUUAAAAAUAAAAAUAAAAAUAAAUAUGUUCAUAAGGAAACACUAUUUAGAAAAGGGAGGUAUGAUGAUGUCUCAUCAAACAGAAAAAUAUUAGUAAGAAGACAGAAAAGAAUACAAUGAAAAUUCUGGAUUCAAAAAUUAUAACUGCAAUGGAAAACUCACUAGAAUGACUCAACAAAAGACUUGGCCAGGUGGGGUGGCUCACGCCUGUAAUCCCAGCACUCUGGGAGGCCAAGGCAAGCAAAUCACCUGACGUCUAGGAGUUCGAGACCAGCCUGACCAACAUGGUGAAACCCCGGGGUCUCUACUAAAAAUACAAAAAAGUUAGCUGAGUGUGGUAGUGCACAUACCUAUAAUCCCAGCUACUCUGGAGGCUGAGGCAGGAGAAUCGCUUGACCCCAUGAGGCAGAGGUUGCAGCGAGAUGAGAUAGUGCCACUGCACUCCAGCUUGGGCAACAAG